RNAcentral lists this ribosomal RNA (1357 nucleotides) under bacterium 17(2010). Its description in RNAcentral is "16S ribosomal RNA". It matches the Rfam family "Bacterial small subunit ribosomal RNA", at positions 78 to 1432 of the family's 1533-position model. The record is from RNAcentral.
GCUUGCGUCGGGGAUUAGUGGCGAACGGGUGAGUAACACGUGAGUUAACCUGCCCUUAACUCUGGGAUAAGCCUUGGAAACGGGGUCUAAUACUGGAUAUUGACUUUACCUCGCAUGGGGUUUGGUUGAAAGAUUUAUUGGUUUUGGAUGGACUCGCGGCCUAUCAGCUUGUUGGUGAGGUAAUGGCUCACCAAGGCGACGACGGGUAGCCGGCCUGAGAGGGUGACCGGCCACACUGGGACUGAGACACGGCCCAGACUCCUACGGGAGGCAGCAGUGGGGAAUAUUGCACAAUGGGCGAAAGCCUGAUGCAGCGACGCCGCGUGAGGGAUGACGGCCUUCGGGUUGUAAACCUCUUUCAGUAGGGAACAAGGCCAGCAUUUUUGUUGGUUGAGGGUACUUGCAGAAGAAGCGCCGGCUAACUACGUGCCAGCAGCCGCGGUAAUACGUAGGGCGCAAGCGUUAUCCGGAAUUAUUGGGCGUAAAGAGCUCGUAGGCGGUUUGUCGCGUCUGCCGUGAAAGUCCGGGGCUCAACCCCGGAUCUGCGGUGGGUACGGGCAGACUAGAGUGAUGUAGGGGAGACUGGAAUUCCUGGUGUAGCGGUGAAAUGCGCAGAUAUCAGGAGGAACACCGAUGGCGAAGGCAGGUCUCUGGGCAUUAACUGACGCUGAGGAGCGAAAGCAUGGGGAGCGAACAGGAUUAGAUACCCUGGUAGUCCAUGCCGUAAACGUUGGGCACUAGGUGUGGGGGACAUUCCACGUUUUCCGCGCCGUAGCUAACGCAUUAAGUGCCCCGCCUGGGGAGUACGGCCGCAAGGCUAAAACUCAAAGGAAUUGACGGGGGCCCGCACAAGCGGCGGAGCAUGCGGAUUAAUUCGAUGCAACGCGAAGAACCUUACCAAGGCUUGACAUGAACCGGUAAUACCUGGAAACAGGUGCCCCGCUUGCGGUCGGUUUACAGGUGGUGCAUGGUUGUCGUCAGCUCGUGUCGUGAGAUGUUGGGUUAAGUCCCGCAACGAGCGCAACCCUCGUUCUAUGUUGCCAGCACGUAAUGGUGGGGACUCAUAGGAGACUGCCGGGGUCAACUCGGAGGAAGGUGAGGACGACGUCAAAUCAUCAUGCCCCUUAUGUCUUGGGCUUCACGCAUGCUACAAUGGCCGGUACAAUGGGUUGCGAUACUGUGAGGUGGAGCUAAUCCCAAAAAGCCGGUCUCAGUUCGGAUUGGGGUCUGCAACUCGACCCCAUGAAGUCGGAGUCGCUAGUAAUCGCAGAUCAGCAACGCUGCGGUGAAUACGUUCCCGGGCCUUGUACACACCGCCCGUCAAGUCACGAAAGUUGGUAACACCUAGAAGCCGGUG